CAUAUCAAUAAGCGGAGGAAAAGAAACUAACAAGGAUUCCCCUAGUAACUGCGAGUGAAGCGGGAAAAGCUCAAAUUUAAAAUCUGGUAGUCUCUGGCUGCCCGAGUUGUAAUCUAGAGAAGUGUUAUCCGCGCUGGACCGUGUACAAGUCUCCUGGAAUGGAGCGUCAUAGAGGGUGAGAAUCCCGUCUUUGACACGGACUACCAGGGCUUUUGUGAUGCGCUCUCAAAGAGUCGAGUUGUUUGGGAAUGCAGCUCUAAAUGGGUGGUAAAUUCCAUCUAAAGCUAAAUAUUGGCGAGAGACCGAUAGCGAACAAGUACCGUGAGGGAAAGAUGAAAAGAACUUUGGAAAGAGAGUUAAACAGUACGUGAAAUUGUUGAAAGGGAAACGCUUGAAGUCAGUCGCGUUGKCCAGGAWUCAGCCUUGCUUUUGCUUGGUGUAUUUCCUGGCUGAUGGGUCAGCAUCAAUUUUGACCGGUGGAAAAAGGUCAGGGGAAUGUGGCAUCUUCGGAUGUGUUAUAGCCUCUGGUCGUAUACAUCGGUUGGGAUUGAGGAACUCAGCACGCCGCAAGGUCGGGUUUUUAACCACGUUCGUGCUUAGGAUGCUGGCAUAAUGGCUUUAAUCGACCCGUCUUGAAACACGGACCAAGGAGUCUAACAUGCCUGCGAGUGUUUGGGUGGAAAACCCGAGCGCGYAAUGAAAGUGAAAGUUGAGAUCCCUGUCGUGGGGAGCAUCGACGCCCGGACCAGACCUUCUGUGACGGCUCCGCGGUAGAGCAUGUAUGUUGGGACCCGAAAGAUGGUGAACUAUGCCUGAAUAGGGUGAAGCCAGAGGAAACUCUGGUGGAGGCUCGUAGCGAUUCUGACGUGCAAAUCGAUCGUCAAAUUUGGGUAUAGGGGCGAAAGACU
RNAcentral lists this ribosomal RNA (908 nucleotides) under Lulesia fallax. RNAcentral's name for it is "Clitocella fallax partial large subunit ribosomal RNA". The record is from RNAcentral. Lineage: Eukaryota; Fungi; Basidiomycota; Agaricomycetes; Agaricales; Entolomataceae.